Molecule: ribosomal RNA, 1212 nt
Filed under: metagenome
Description: bacterial LSU rRNA
Rfam family: Bacterial large subunit ribosomal RNA
Source: RNAcentral
UGAGUACGAGAUGCUACGGCAUCGAAGCAGUCUAUGUCAUACUUCCAAGAAAAGCUUGCAAUGUCAUAAACAAAUAAUGCCUGUACCAUAACCGACACAGGUGGGUAGGUAGAGUAUACUAAGGGGCGCGAGAUAACUCUCUCUAAGGAACUCGGCAAAAUGACUCCGUAACUUCGGGAGAAGGAGUGCCUUAUUUUUAUAAGGUUGCAAUAACAAGAUCCAAGCAACUGUUUACCAAAAACACAGGUCUCCGCUAAGUCGUAAGACGAUGUAUGGGGGCUGACGCCUGCCCAGUGCCAGAAGGUUAAAGAAGUUGGUUAGCAUUAGCGAAGCUGAUAACUGAAGCCCUGGUGAACGGCGGCCGUAACAAUAACGGUCCUAAGGUAGCGAAAUUCCUUGUCGGGUAAGUUCCGACCCGCACGAAAGGCGUAAUGAUUUGGAUACUGUCUCGGAGAGGGGCUCGGUGAAAUAGACUUGUCUGUGAAGAUGCGGACUACCUGCACCUGGACAGAAAGACCCUAUGAAGCUUUACUGUAACUUGAGAUUGAAAUUGGACUUUAUCUGCGCAGUAUAGGUGGGAGACGUUGAAAAUAUUCUUGCGGGAAUAUUGGAGUCAUCAGUGAGAUACCACUCUUAUAAUGUUAGAUUUCUAACUUUGUAUCAUUAUCUGGUCAGAGAACAGUUUCAGGCGGGCAGUUUGACUGGGGCGGUCGCCUCCCAAACGGUAACGGAGGCGCACAAAGGUUUCCUCUGAACGUGUAGAAAUCGUAUCUAGAGUGUAAAGGCAUAAGGAAGCUUGACUGUGAGACCUACAAGUCGAGCAGGGACGAAAGUCGGUCUUAGUGAUCUGACGGUGCUGAGUGGAAAGGCCGUCACUCAACGGAUAAAAGUUACUCUAGGAUAACAGGCUGAUCUCCCCCAAGAGUUCACAUCGACGGGGAGGUUUGGCACCUCGAUGUCGGCUCAUCGCAUCCUGGGGCGGUAGUACGUCCCAAGGGUUGGGCUGUUCGCCCAUGAAAGCGGUACGCGAGCUGGGUUCAGAACGUCGUGAGACAGUUCGGUCCAUAUCCGGUGUAGGCGUUAGAAUAUUGAGAGGAGCCUUCUUUAGUACGAGAGGACCGAGAAGGACAUACCUCUGGUGUACCAGUUAUCGUGCCAACGGUAAACGCUGGGUAGCCAUGUAUGGAGAGGAUAACCGCUGAAAGCAUCUAU